RNAcentral lists this unclassified non-coding RNA (334 nucleotides) under soil metagenome. Its description in RNAcentral is "partial contains 5.8S ribosomal RNA, internal transcribed spacer 2, and large subunit ribosomal RNA". The stretch from base 1 to 120 matches the Rfam family "5.8S ribosomal RNA", at positions 35 to 154 of the family's 154-position model. The record is from RNAcentral.
GAUGAAGAACGUAGCGAAAUGCGAUAAGUAAUGUGAAUUGCAGAAUUCAGUGAAUCAUCGAAUCUUUGAACGCACAUUGCGCCCGCCAGUAUUCUGGCGGGCAUGCCUGUUCGAGCGUCAUUUCAACCAUCAAGCCCUGCUUGCGUUGGGGUCCUGCGGCUGCCCGCAGGCCCUGAAAACCAGUGGCGGGCUCGCUAGUCACACCGAGCGCAGUAAUACAUCUCGCUUUGGGCGUGCGGCGGGUUCUUGCCGUUGAACACCCCCUUUUUACCAAGGUUGACCUCGGAUCAGGUAGGAAUACCCGCUGAACUUAAGCAUAUCAAUAAGCGGAGGA